Molecule: ribosomal RNA, 253 nt
Filed under: uncultured bacterium
Lineage: Bacteria
Description: partial 16S ribosomal RNA
Rfam family: Bacterial small subunit ribosomal RNA
Source: RNAcentral
UACGAAGGCCCCGAGCGUUAUCCGGAUUUAUUGGGCGUAAAGAGUGCGCAGGAGGUUCUGCAAGUCUCGCGUUAAAGCCCACAGCCUAACUGUGGAAGCGCGUGGGAUACUGCAGAACUAGAGGAUGUUAGAGGUUACUAGAACUCACGGUGUAGGGGUGAAAUCCGUUGAUAUCGUGGGGAAUACCAAAGGCGAAGGCAUGUAACUGGAACAUUCCUGACUCUCAUGCACGAAAGCGUGGGGAGCAAAAAGG